GAUGAACGCUGACGGCGUGCCUAAUACAUGCAAGUCGAGCGAACAGAUAAGGAGCUUGCUCCUUUGACGUUAGCGGCGGACGGGUGAGUAACACGUGGGUAACCUACCUAUAAGACUGGGAUAACUUCGGGAAACCGGAGCUAAUACCGGAUAAUAUUUCGAACCGCAUGGUUCGAUAGUGAAAGAUGGUUUUGCUAUCACUUAUAGAUGGACCCGCGCCGUAUUAGCUAGUUGGUAAGGUAACGGCUUACCAAGGCGACGAUACGUAGCCGACCUGAGAGGGUGAUCGGCCACACUGGAACUGAGACACGGUCCAGACUCCUACGGGAGGCAGCAGUAGGGAAUCUUCCGCAAUGGGCGAAAGCCUGACGGAGCAACGCCGCGUGAGUGAUGAAGGUCUUCGGAUCGUAAAACUCUGUUAUUAGGGAAGAACAUACGUGUAAGUAACUGUGCACGUCUUGACGGUACCUAAUCAGAAAGCCACGGCUAACUACGUG
This 497-nucleotide ribosomal RNA is filed under the name uncultured bacterium. RNAcentral's name for it is "partial 16S ribosomal RNA". It matches the Rfam family "Bacterial small subunit ribosomal RNA", at positions 28 to 507 of the family's 1533-position model. The record is from RNAcentral.